Molecule: ribosomal RNA, 1372 nt
Filed under: uncultured bacterium
Lineage: Bacteria
Description: bacterial SSU rRNA
Rfam family: Bacterial small subunit ribosomal RNA
Source: RNAcentral
GAUGAACGCUGGCGGCGUGCCUAAUACAUGCAAGUCGAGCGAACGGACGAGAAGCUUGCUUCUCUGAUGUUAGCGGCGGACGGGUGAGUAACACGUGGAUAACCUACCUAUAAGACUGGGAUAACUUCGGGAAACCGGAGCUAAUACCGGAUAAUAUUUUGAACCGCAUGGUUCAAAAGUGAAAGACGGUCUUGCUGUCACUUAUAGAUGGAUCCGCGCUGCAUUAGCUAGUUGGUAAGGUAACGGCUUACCAAGGCAACGAUGCAUAGCCGACCUGAGAGGGUGAUCGGCCACACUGGAACUGAGACACGGUCCAGACUCCUACGGGAGGCAGCAGUAGGGAAUCUUCCGCAAUGGGCGAAAGCCUGACGGAGCAACGCCGCGUGAGUGAUGAAGGUCUUCGGAUCGUAAAACUCUGUUAUUAGGGAAGAACAUAUGUGUAAGUAACUGUGCACAUCUUGACGGUACCUAAUCAGAAAGCCACGGCUAACUACGUGCCAGCAGCCGCGGUAAUACGUAGGUGGCAAGCGUUAUCCGGAAUUAUUGGGCGUAAAGCGCGCGUAGGCGGUUUUUUAAGUCUGAUGUGAAAGCCCACGGCUCAACCGUGGAGGGUCAUUGGAAACUGGAAAACUUGAGUGCAGAAGAGGAAAGUGGAAUUCCAUGUGUAGCGGUGAAAUGCGCAGAGAUAUGGAGGAACACCAGUGGCGAAGGCGACUUUCUGGUCUGUAACUGACGCUGAUGUGCGAAAGCGUGGGGAUCAAACAGGAUUAGAUACCCUGGUAGUCCACGCCGUAAACGAUGAGUGCUAAGUGUUAGGGGGUUUCCGCCCCUUAGUGCUGCAGCUAACGCAUUAAGCACUCCGCCUGGGGAGUACGACCGCAAGGUUGAAACUCAAAGGAAUUGACGGGGACCCGCACAAGCGGUGGAGCAUGUGGUUUAAUUCGAAGCAACGCGAAGAACCUUACCAAAUCUUGACAUCCUUUGACAACUCUAGAGAUAGAGCUUUCCCCUUCGGGGGACAAAGUGACAGGUGGUGCAUGGUUGUCGUCAGCUCGUGUCGUGAGAUGUUGGGUUAAGUCCCGCAACGAGCGCAACCCUUAAGCGUAGUUGCCAUCAUUAAGUUGGGCACUCUAAGUUGACUGCCGGUGACAAACCGGAGGAAGGUGGGGACGACGUCAAAUCAUCAUGCCCCUUAUGAUUUGGGCUACACACGUGCUACAAUGGACAAUACAAAGGGCAGCGAAACCGCGAGGUCAAGCAAAUCCCAUAAAGUUGUUCUCAGUUCGGAUUGUAGUCUGCAACUCGACUACAUGAAGCUGGAAUCGCUAGUAAUCGUAGAUCAGCAUGCUACGGUGAAUACGUUCCCGGGUCU